This 980-nucleotide ribosomal RNA is filed under the name uncultured bacterium. RNAcentral's name for it is "bacterial SSU rRNA". It matches the Rfam family "Bacterial small subunit ribosomal RNA", at positions 377 to 1369 of the family's 1533-position model. The record is from RNAcentral.
CGAAGCCUGACGGAGCGACACCGCGUGGAGGAUGAAAUUUUUCGGAAUGUAAACUCCUUUUGGCAGGAAUGAAACAAAUGACAGUACCUGCAGAAUAAGCAUCGGCUAACUACGUGCCAGCAGCCGCGGUAAUACGUAGGAUGCAAGCGUUGUUCGGAAUUACUGGGCGUAAAGAGUACGUAGGCGGUAAUGAAAGUCUGAUAUUAAAGACUGGGGCUUAACCUCAGGAGUGUAUCGGAAACUUCAUAACUAGAGGACAGUAGAGGAAAUUGGAAUUCCCAGUGUAGCGGUGAAAUGCGUAGAUAUUGGGAGGAACACCAGUGGCGAAAGCGAAUUUCUGGGCUGUUACUGACGCUGAGGUACGAAAGUGUGGGGAGCAAACAGGAUUAGAUACCCUGGUAGUCCACACGGUAAACGAUGGAUACUAGGUGUAACCGGCUUCGACCCCGGUUGUGCCGCAGCUAACGCAUUAAGUAUCCCGCCUGGGGAGUAUGGCCGCAAGGUUGAAACUCAAAGGAAUUGACGGGGGCCCGCACAAGCGGUGGAGGAUGUGGUUUAAUUCGACGCAACGCGAAGAACCUUACCAAGACUUGACAUCCACAGAAUCUGGUAGAGAUAUCGGAGUGUCCGCAAGGAAACUGUGAGACAGGUGGUGCAUGGCUGUCGUCAGCUCGUGUCGUGAGAUGUUGGGUUAAGUCCCGCAACGAGCGCAACCCUCGAUGCUAGUUACCAUCAUUAAGUUGGGGACUCUAGCGUGACUGCCGGAGCUAAUCCGGAGGAAGGUGAGGACGACGUCAAGUCAUCAUGCCCCUUACGUCUUGGGCUACACACGUCCUACAAUGGUAUAGACAAAGAGCUGCAAGCUAGUGAUGGCAAGCGAAUCUCAUAGACUAUAUCUCAGUUCGGAUUGUAGGCUGCAACUCGCCUACAUGAAGUUGGGAUCGCUAGUAACCGUAGAUCAGCAUGCUACGGUUGAAUAC